UACGUAGGGGGCAAGCGUUGUCCGGAAUUACUGGGCGUAAAGCGUCCGCAGGCGGCUUGGUCAGUUGGGUGUGAAAGACUGAGGCUCAACUUCAGAAACGCAUCCAAUACUGCCCGGCUUGAGUGUCGGAGAGGAGAAUGGAACUACCAGUGUAGCGGUGAUAUGCGUUGAGAUUGGUAGGAACACCAGUGGCGAAGGCGGUUCUCUGGACGACAACUGACGCUGAGGGACGAAAGCCAGGGGAGCGAACGGG
This 253-nucleotide ribosomal RNA is filed under the name uncultured bacterium. Its description in RNAcentral is "partial 16S ribosomal RNA". It matches the Rfam family "Bacterial small subunit ribosomal RNA", at positions 524 to 776 of the family's 1533-position model. The record is from RNAcentral.